This 57-nucleotide transfer RNA is filed under the name Streptococcus dysgalactiae. RNAcentral describes it as "tRNA-Xxx". It matches the Rfam family "tRNA", at positions 17 to 71 of the family's 71-position model. From Rfam's summary of the family: Transfer RNA (tRNA) molecules are approximately 80 nucleotides in length. Their secondary structure includes four short double-helical elements and three loops (D, anti-codon, and T loops). The record is from RNAcentral. RNAcentral also lists the same sequence under 1 other name. Lineage: Bacteria; Bacillati; Bacillota; Bacilli; Lactobacillales; Streptococcaceae.
GGUUAGAGCGCACGCCUGAUAAGCGUGAGGUCGGUGGUUCGAGUCCACUCGUGCCCA